Pieris napi is the source of this 469-nucleotide long non-coding RNA. RefSeq lists it as uncharacterized. Lineage: Eukaryota; Metazoa; Arthropoda; Insecta; Lepidoptera; Pieridae. The transcript is spliced from 2 exons. The record is from RefSeq and is a predicted model, not a curated record.
UUAGAUAUUAUCAAUUGCAUUGCACAAUGCAAGUAGGACAUCUUUGAUAAGAUUUCACGUAACUGCCUACAAACUUUGCAUAUAAAUACGACACGAGCUAGAACCAAGUCAAAAUAAAUCUUCAGGAGCGAUUAAAAUAAACUCAUUACAAACAUGAAGGUUUUAGCCAUAGCUCUCAUUGCCGCCCUCGUGUGCAUCACACAGGCUUCACCAAUCGGAGAGGAGGUAGAGGUUCCAGAACUGGCAGUAGAUGCCAUGCAACCAAUGGAGUUGUUAAACGGUGCUCGUCAACGGAUCUGCACGCCCGUGAUGUGUCAGAACUUAUGCAGGAGCCUGGGAUGGAAAUACGGAAGCUGCAACGCGCAACGUUUCUGCGUCUGCAGACGCAGAACUUAGUCCUAAAACUACUUUCAUUUUGUAUUAUAAGCUAUUGUAUUAUUUUUAAGCUAUAUAUAAAAAAUAAGGCCUA